UGUGCGCCAGGGUCUCCAUCAAGCUAGUCAAGCAAGUGUCAGAAAGGUGGGGGUGAACUGUGCCAGGUGCUCCUGGCUCCUCGAAGGAGCUGCCAACUAAUAUACCUGAUGGGCCGCAGGACCAAGGUGAAAUACAGACUGGCCCACCAGGGCUUCUCACCCUCCACAGAUGGCAAGAGGUCCCAUCACUUGGUGUCAGGGCAGGACGCGAGGAGAGAAAGUGAAAAGUAUGGAGCAAGGGCAUGUACGGCUGUGUCCUAGGCGUGGCGGGAAACGAAUCUGAUACGGGCAACUGAGGUGCAGAGAGAUUAACCCAUUUGCCCAAUAUCACACAGGAAGUGUGUGUCAGAGCCAACAACUAAACACAGGUGUGGCAGUGUACGCCCACUGGGUCCCAGCCCAGGGCCGAAACAGUAGUGGAGUGGUCCACCACUGAGUCAGCAGGGAAUCCAGCUGCAACACGCUGACCUUACCUGAGUGGGAGAUACCAUUCACUCCACCUCCAUGGGCUACUUCCAACCAUGCUUCCUGAAGCCGUUGUCCAUAUGACAUCAGGAUCUCCAGGCUCCUCAGAGCAGACAUUGUAGGAGAUGUAUGCUGCUUUAGCAUUAGCGUACUAGUACACCCUACAUCUAAUUCCUGCAGAGGCUUGUGAUACCCCCCAAAGCAUUGCUCCUCAUGGGACGACAACUGGCGAUGGUAGG
Mauremys mutica (yellowpond turtle) is the source of this 704-nucleotide long non-coding RNA. RefSeq lists it as uncharacterized. The record is from RefSeq and is a predicted model, not a curated record. NCBI's taxonomy places the organism in Eukaryota, Metazoa, Chordata, Testudines, Geoemydidae. The transcript has 3 exons.